Molecule: ribosomal RNA, 252 nt
Filed under: uncultured bacterium
Lineage: Bacteria
Description: partial 16S ribosomal RNA
Rfam family: Bacterial small subunit ribosomal RNA
Source: RNAcentral
UACAGAGGUCCCAAGCGUUGUUCGGAUUCACUGGGCGUAAAGGGUGCGUAGGUGGCUUGGUAAGUUCGAUGUGAAAUCUCCGGGCUUAACCCGGAAAUGGCAUUGAAUACUAUUGAGCUGGAGGUUUGGAGGGGGACUGGAAUUCUCGGUGUAGCAGUGAAAUGCGUAGAUAUCAAGUGGAACACCAGUGGCGAAGGCGAGUCUCUGGACAUUUCCUGACGCUGAGGCACGAAAGCCAGGGGAGCAAACGGG